Picea glauca (white spruce) is the source of this 124-nucleotide non-coding RNA. NCBI's taxonomy places the organism in Eukaryota, Viridiplantae, Streptophyta, Pinopsida, Pinales, Pinaceae. The record is from Rfam.
UCAUAUAUACAUGCCUAUAGUUUUAAUGCACUGGAUCCCAUUAGAACUCUGCAGUUAAGUGUGCUUGGGCUAGAGCAGUACUGGGAUGGGUUACCUCAUAGGAAGUCCUAGUGUUUUACAUUCC